This 1143-nucleotide long non-coding RNA is filed under the name Olea europaea (common olive). Its description in RNAcentral is "long non-coding RNA (OEUR_LNC013232)". Lineage: Eukaryota; Viridiplantae; Streptophyta; Magnoliopsida; Lamiales; Oleaceae. The record is from RNAcentral.
UGCGUUAUUGGAGAACAUAAACUUCUGUUUCUAGUUUUAAAAGAAAUGUAGGGAAGUAAUUUUUUUACAUGGACAAUGACCUCACUAGCUUCACAUAGGACUGGAAAGUGCAUUUUAAAAGAGAAAAGAUAAAAACGAACAUAGUACACAAGAUGUGUUCAGGUUACACAUUCAUCAAGAGUAUAGAAUAUACGCACAUGUAACCAUAGAUACACCUUCUUCUAAAAAAGGAAAAUAUGAGACUAUAAUGGACUCACGGAGCCUCAAAUCUGAUAUCAAAAUUGACUUCACUUGUAAGAGUUGAAGAGUUUACACAUAGCAUUCAAGAAAAUAGUUGAGUGUGGUUCUCAAUCGAUUAAAAAAAUAUUUUGUACUUGAAAAUUUACAUUUUGUUGCAUCUCUAGUUCUGAUUAUAAUUUAUCUUCAAGCAAAGCAUACAAUUUUUUCCUCAAGAGUUAAAUCUAUUUGUACAUUACUCCUUGACAUCUUCGAUGAAACACCUCCAUGUGUAGAAAAUCUGCCCAUUAAUUGGAAAAAAAUGUUGUUAAAAUCAAGGAUUUAUCUAAAUGUACAUUACGGACACCAUAAUGGUGUCCAUAAUGCCGAGGUGGCACCUCUCCAUUGGAAGAGGUUCUUGUGGGCCCGGCGCCUCCUCCAAUGGGGAGGCGCCACCUCGGGAUUAUGGACACUAUGGUGUCCAUAAUGUACACCAAGAAUGGUCCUAAAAUCAAUGUACAAAGUCAACACAUAUGAUGUCAAGCUUGAUGUACAUGUAAUAAGACUUUAUCACCAAAAUAUACAAUUAGGGUAUAUAUACAUAACAACUUAUAUAAUGAAUUUACGAACAAAUGAUGUAAUCAAAUAACCCCCACUUACAUUUUGUGUAAUGACACAAAUUUUAAAUAUUUAAAUCGUUACUAAAACAAUUUUCAUUCAAUAAUUUAAUAAAAUAUCGAACAUCGCAACCUAAGUUUUUGCUCAACUAAAAAAUAAAUAAAACAUACAUAAUAAAGCAUAACUUUUGUACAGCUCGAUGUAAAUCACGCAUCAAAUUCGUGUGGGUAGGUGGCGCCAUUUCCUAAAAAUUAAUAUUAAGCUACUCAUCACAUACGAAUACCAAGAAUAACAUUUUAUACCUAUACC